AGUAUUCUUCACCUAAGAAAACCCUAUGAAAUUCAAGGGGCUGCCUUAAGUUGACAGGCUACUUGAAGGCACAUACACAUACACACACAUGUACAUACGCACACAUGUACACGCAUUGCACUUCCCUUCUAUUCAUAUUUCUGCUGUUUAUAACUGUUAUUCAGGAGAACAAACAUUUUCAUGUGUGUGUGAGAGAGAGAUUGCACCAAUUCUGUAGUAAGGACAUAAUAUCCAUUGUGAAAUUAAAUACUGUACAACUCUUUCUUAGGUUUUUACAUAACGAAAUCUGAAAGUAUGAUGAGAUUCUCUGCAGAGAGGCAGAAAUGGUUGCUGAAUAAAUGGCUAUAGUGAGCAGCAGUGUAAAGAACUGAGUUUUCAGCCGUCUGCAAAGGAGAAAGACACUUUCUUGCUGUGUUCACUAGUAAAAGAACAGAGGUGAAGGUCAAGCCAUCUGUGCUAUCCACAAAGGAAAAGUGGCAGGGAAGUGAAAUGUUGUCGAAUGGACGUACCCUGAAUUCAUCCAUUGCAUCUGCACAUUGAAACAUCCAGUGGAUAGUUAGGCCUCAGUGCAGUGGUGAAGGCCAGCCAGCAAGCCAGCCACCAUUUGGUUGUAACUUCUGCCACAAGUUCAGCAAGUGACCAUAUUCCCUCUCAACCUCAUCCGCUCUUAUGAACAGGAAAAUUAUUGGCUUCAUUUUCCUCCAUAUUUUUUAACUAUAAUGUGCUUUCUGUUCUAAACAGAUUAUUUUCAAAUUUUGGAAAAUCCUUCAGAAAUAAAUUCUUUAUUCUCCCA
Molecule: long non-coding RNA, 793 nt
Organism: Sceloporus undulatus (fence lizard)
Lineage: Eukaryota; Metazoa; Chordata; Lepidosauria; Squamata; Phrynosomatidae
Exons: 2
Source: RefSeq, a predicted model, not a curated record